CUAAGAGCAAACGGUGGAUGCCUUGGCAUCUGGAGCCGAAGAAGGACGUAUAAAUCUGCGAUAAGCCUCGGGGAGCUGAUAAUAGAGCUUUGAUCCGAGGAUCUCCGAAUGGGGAAACCCCGCCAGGCCCUUUGGGUGACCUGGUGACUCCCGCCUGAAUAUAUAGGGCGGGUAGAGGGAACGUGGGGAAGUGAAACAUCUCAGUACCCACAGGAAGAGAAAGCAAAAGCGAUUCCGUUAGUAGUGGCGAGCGAAACCGGAAGAGGCCAAACCGAUCAUGUGUGAUAUCCGGUAGGAGUUGCAUGGUCGGGGUUGCGGGACUUUCCGUACAGUUCUACCGAGCUGUGAGGGCAAUGAGCGCGAUAUAGACGAAUGGUCUUGAAAGGCCAGUCAUAGAGGGUGCGAACCCCGUAGUCGAAAUGUCGUCGCCUGUCCGGAGAGUAUCCCAAGUAGCACGGGGCCCGAGAAAUCCCGUGUGAAUCUGUCAGGACCACCUGAUAAGCCUAAAUACUCCCAGAUGACCGAUAGCGGACAAGUACCGUGAGGGAAAGGUGAAAAGUACCCCGGGAGGGGAGUGAAAUAGUACCUGAAACCGUUUGCUUACAAACCGUUGGAGCACCCUUGUUGGUGUGACAGCGUGCCUUUUGAAGAAUGAGCCUGCGAGUUAGUGAUAUGUGGCGAGGUUAACCCGUGAGGGGCAGCCGUAGCGAAAGCGAGUCUUAAUAGGGCGUAUGAGUCGCAUGUUCUAGACCCGAAGCGAAGUGAUCUAUCCAUGGCCAGGUUGAAGCGACGGUAAGACGUCGUGGAGGACCGAACCCACUUCAGUUGAAAAUGGAGGGGAUGAGCUGUGGAUAGGGGUGAAAGGCCAAUCAAACUUCGUGAUAGCUGGUUCUCUCCGAAAUGCAUUUAGGUGCAGCGUUGCGUGUUUCUUGCCGGAGGUAGAGCUACUGGAUGGACGAUGGGCCCCAAAAGGUUACUGACUUCAGCCAAACUCCGAAUGCCGGUAAGUGAGAGCGCAGCAGUGAGACGGUGGGGGAUAAGCUUCAUCGUCGAGAGGGAAACAACCCAGACCACCAUCUAAGGUCCCUAAGCGCGUGCUAAGUGGGAAAGGAUGUGGAGUUGCAUAGACAACCAGGAGGUUGGCUUAGAAGCAGCCACCCUUGAAAGAGUGCGUAAUAGCUCACUGGUCAAGUGAUUCCGCGCCGACAAUGUAACGGGGCUCAAGCACGCCACCGAAGUUGUGGCAUUUAUAUUAUAGGCAGGCCUUCGUGGUCCAGCCGUAUGGAUGGGUAGGAGAGCGUCGUGUGGCCAGCGAAGCGGCGGUGUGAACCAGCCGUGGAGGCCACACGAGUGAGAAUGCAGGCAUGAGUAGCGAAAGACGGGUGAGAAACCCGUCCUCCGAAAGACCAAGGGUUCCAGGGCCAGGCUAAUCCGCCCUGGGUAAGUCGGGACCUAAGGCGAGGCCGACAGGCGUAGUCGAUGGACAACGGGUUGAUAUUCCCGUACCGAUGAAGAACCGCCCAAGACAAUCCAGUAAUGCUAAGUGUCUGAAUCCUUGAUUCGAUCCCUUCGGGGUGACGGUCUUGGCCUAGCACACGACCCUACGCUGGGGCGUUUAGCGUAUUAACAGGUGUGACGCAGGAAGGUAGCUGAGCCGGGCGAUGGUUGUCCCGGUCUAAGGAUGUAGGGCAGAAGAUAGGCAAAUCCGUCUUCUAUGUAGCCUGAGACCCGAUGGGUAGUCCUCACGGACGAAAUCAGUGAUCCUAUGCUGCCGAGAAAAGCAUCGACGCGAGGUUCCAAUCGCCCGUACCCCAAACCGACUCAGGUGGUCAGGUAGAGAAUACUAAGGAGAUCGAGAGAAUCGUGGUUAAGGAACUCGGCAAAAUGCCCCCGUAACUUCGGGAGAAGGGGGGCCUGAGGCGUGUAGGGAUUUACUCCUGAAGCGUUUGAAGGCCGCAGAGACCAGUGGGAAGCGACUGUUUACUAAAAACACAGGUCCGUGCUAAGUCGCAAGACGAUGUAUACGGACUGACGCCUGCCCGGUGCUGGAAGGUUAAGAGGAACGGUUAGCACGCAAGUGCGAAGCUGAGAAUUUAAGCCCCAGUAAACGGCGGUGGUAACUAUAACCAUCCUAAGGUAGCGAAAUUCCUUGUCGGGUAAGUUCCGACCUGCACGAAUGGCGUAACGACUUCCCAGCUGUCUCAACCGCGAACUCGGCGAAAUUGCACUACGAGUAAAGAUGCUCGUUACGCGCAGCAGGACGGAAAGACCCCGUGACCUUUACUACAGCUUGGUAUUGGUGUUCGGUGUGGCUUGUGUAGGAUAGGUGGGAGACUGUGAAGCUCGGACGCUAGUUCGGGUGGAGUCAUUGUUGAAAUACCACUCUGGUCACUCUGGAUAUCUAACUUCGAACCGUAAUCCGGUUCAGGGACAGUGCCUGGUGGGUAGUUUAACUGGGGCGGUUGCCUCCUAAAGAGUAACGGAGGCGCCCAAAGGUUCCCUCAACCUGGUUGGUAAUCAGGUGUCGAGUGUAAGUGCACAAGGGAGCUUGACUGUGAGACUGACAAGUCGAGCAGGGACGAAAGUCGGGACUAGUGAUCCGGCAGUGGCUUGUGGAAGCGCUGUCGCUCAACGGAUAAAAGGUACCUCGGGGAUAACAGGCUGAUCUUGCCCAAGAGUCCAUAUCGACGGCAUGGUUUGGCACCUCGAUGUCGGCUCGUCGCAUCCUGGGGCUGGAGUAGGUCCCAAGGGUUGGGCUGUUCGCCCAUUAAAGCGGUACGCGAGCUGGGUUUAGAACGUCGUGAGACAGUUCGGUCCCUAUCCGCUGCGCGCGUAGGAAAUUUGAGAAGAUCUAUCCCUAGUACGAGAGGACCGGGAUGGACGAACCUCUGGUGUGUCAGUUGUUCCGCCAGGAGCACCGCUGAUUAGCUACGUUCGGAACGGAUAACCGCUGAAAGCAUCUAAGCGGGAAGCCGGCUUCGAGAUGAGAUUUCCAUCCCUUUUAGGGUGAAGGCUCCCGGCUAGACUACCGGGUUGAUAGGCAGGAUGUGGAAGCGAGGACUAAAGACUCGUGGAGCUGACCUGUACUAAUAAGCCGAUAUCUUGAAA
This 3108-nucleotide ribosomal RNA is filed under the name Clavibacter michiganensis subsp. michiganensis. Its description in RNAcentral is "bacterial LSU rRNA". It matches the Rfam family "Bacterial large subunit ribosomal RNA". Lineage: Bacteria; Bacillati; Actinomycetota; Actinomycetes; Micrococcales; Microbacteriaceae. The record is from RNAcentral.